UACGAAGGGGGCUAGCGUUGCUCGGAAUCACUGGGCGUAAAGGGUGCGUAGGCGGGUUUUUAAGUCAGAGGUGAAAUCCUGGAGCUCAACCCCAGAACUGCCUUUGAUACUGAAAGUCUUGAGUAUGGGAGAGGUGAGUGGAACUGCGAGUGUAGAGGUGAAAUUCGUAGAUAUUCGCAAGAACACCAGUGGCGAAGGCGGCUCACUGGCCCAUUACUGACGCUGAGGCACGAAAGCGUGGGGAGCAAACAGGG
RNAcentral lists this ribosomal RNA (254 nucleotides) under uncultured bacterium. RNAcentral's name for it is "partial 16S ribosomal RNA". It matches the Rfam family "Bacterial small subunit ribosomal RNA", at positions 524 to 777 of the family's 1533-position model. The record is from RNAcentral.